Molecule: ribosomal RNA, 823 nt
Filed under: Lactobacillus casei group sp.
Lineage: Bacteria; Bacillati; Bacillota; Bacilli; Lactobacillales; Lactobacillaceae
Description: bacterial SSU rRNA
Rfam family: Bacterial small subunit ribosomal RNA
Source: RNAcentral
GAGUUUGAUUCAUGGCUCAGGAUGAACGCUGGCGGCGUGCCUAAUACAUGCAAGUCGAACGAGUUCUCGUUGAUGAUCGGUGCUUGCACCGAGAUUCAACAUGGAACGAGUGGCGGACGGGUGAGUAACACGUGGGUAACCUGCCCUUAAGUGGGGGAUAACAUUUGGAAACAGAUGCUAAUACCGCAUAGAUCCAAGAACCGCAUGGUUCUUGGCUGAAAGAUGGCGUAAGCUAUCGCUUUUGGAUGGACCCGCGGCGUAUUAGCUAGUUGGUGAGGUAAUGGCUCACCAAGGCGAUGAUACGUAGCCGAACUGAGAGGUUGAUCGGCCACAUUGGGACUGAGACACGGCCCAAACUCCUACGGGAGGCAGCAGUAGGGAAUCUUCCACAAUGGACGCAAGUCUGAUGGAGCAACGCCGCGUGAGUGAAGAAGGCUUUCGGGUCGUAAAACUCUGUUGUUGGAGAAGAAUGGUCGGCAGAGUAACUGUUGUCGGCGUGACGGUAUCCAACCAGAAAGCCACGGCUAACUACGUGCCAGCAGCCGCGGUAAUACGUAGGUGGCAAGCGUUAUCCGGAUUUAUUGGGCGUAAAGCGAGCGCAGGCGGUUUUUUAAGUCUGAUGUGAAAGCCCUCGGCUUAACCGAGGAAGCGCAUCGGAAACUGGGAAACUUGAGUGCAGAAGAGGACAGUGGAACUCCAUGUGUAGCGGUGAAAUGCGUAGAUAUAUGGAAGAACACCAGUGGCGAAGGCGGCUGUCUGGUCUGUAACUGACGCUGAGGCUCGAAAGCAUGGGUAGCGAACAGGAUUAGAUACCCUGGUAGUC